AGGUCCCCACAUAUACAAGACCAAGCUCACGACGUUGACAACAUGUUAGAUCUCAAACCGUGAGAUCCACCAUCAGCAAAUCAGAUUCUUAUAAAUAACACCAAAUAAAAACCAACACCUAUUUAUGAACCAAAGUAAACACUCAAUCCGAUACAGGUGCACGUAAAGGAUAGAUUUCUAAAGUCAUCCAAAGAAGGUACAAGAGUUCACCCCUUAUUUAUCCAGAAACCAUUUCCGAGUAAAAAUAACUCUUCUACUCCACUUUUUUCGUUGUUUUUCUAACUUUGUUAAAGAUAACAUCAUUAUUAGCUUUUCAAAUGGACUAGACUACAACAUGCCAAGCCAAUCGAUAACCACUCUUAUAUUUACACAUAUCCCCUAAAGAAUAAAAGGAAUCAAAAAGUAAUCAUGGAUCAUUAGGACCCCAACAGCUUAAAGAUUAUAUACCACAUUGACAAGACAAACUCACAAGUAACAAAGAGAUGGACGACUGUCUCAACCAAAUUUCCACAAAAGGACAAGCAAGCAUACUAGGAUAUGGACUCACCUUUCUCUUAAAGAAGUUUUCUCUAGCCGAGAGUCAAUCUUGCAAAAACUUCUAAGAGAAUAUCAAGAUCUUAGGAGUCCAACUAAACCAGAAAAGGGAAAUUAUCAGACUCUCCUUUGAAAGAGAAGCAGAAGAAGAGAUCAAACCAACCCUCUGAACAAGCGGAGGCCACUGAGAAAGUAUCAUCUCUACCGUACUUUCAAAUCCACUUAUCUCUAACUAGGGAGAGGGUGAUA
Molecule: long non-coding RNA, 783 nt
Filed under: Lathyrus oleraceus (garden pea)
Lineage: Eukaryota; Viridiplantae; Streptophyta; Magnoliopsida; Fabales; Fabaceae
Description: Pisum sativum (pea) long non-coding RNA (PSAT_LNC038470)
Source: RNAcentral